Molecule: long non-coding RNA, 1043 nt
Filed under: Pan troglodytes (chimpanzee)
Lineage: Eukaryota; Metazoa; Chordata; Mammalia; Primates; Hominidae
Description: long non-coding RNA NONPTRT008877
Source: RNAcentral
CAUUGUGUUUUUAAUAUACAUACAAAACCCUGAAUGGUCAAUUUUUGUGUUGUAGAUGGAGACGAGAGAUCUGGACUUCUGAACAUCUACCAGAAAAGAUAAAAUGUGCAAGCCCUUCAGAACGCUGGGGAGGUUGGGCUGAACUGCAGUGGGAGAGGAGAAGAGAUGCUGGCGUGAAGGGCCGGGGCAGAAGAUCAGGGGAAAAUUGCGGAUGAUCUGAAUGAUAGCAGUGACCACCAGCAACCUACAGAGCUGCCCGACCAGGAAAUUGUCAGACGGAAGCAACGCUUGCAGGCAAAGAAGGCUGAAGCAGGCCAAGGCAGGAAUGAAACAGUCAUAAAUGUUGGAGUGAAGCGACUGACCUCCCCGGUCCACACCCCAGCCCAGCGUCCUGCAUCUGCUGGAGGAUGGUAGAGACCAUGUGGAGGAUGGGGACUUGUCAGUGGAGGAGAACAUGGAAGCAGGAUAUGGCAGUCCCCUAGCGUCCCAGCCACAAGUCCUCUGAAGUGUGUGGAUGACGAUGGUGACUUAGGUGCAUCCUUCGAAUGUCCUGAGGGGGAGACUGGAGAAGCAGACACGCAACUGUGGGAAGAAAUCAAAGGCAUAAAGAACUCACAGCACAAGUCCAAAGUCUGAUCAGCGAGCAGGCCUCUCUGCAGGGUGCAAGGGCACAGCUGGAGAGGGAGCUCCCGAAGCUACAGCCGACGCUUCCUGUUCUGCCUGAUCUCCACUGAGAACACAUGAUGGGGCCUCAUGGGAGUCCACAGAGGAGGACGCCUACUGCCUGGACCUGACCAGAGACUUCACAAGGUGCACACAUACAUGAACCACACGUCACAACCCACAACCACUACAAGAAGAUGGCCCAAGGCCUGGCCCAGAAAUUGAAGAAAGACACUUCCGGUUUUCAGAGGGAGAUCCUCUGCCAUGAGAGAACAGCCCAGGAAAGCUAGAUGGCCUCUGUGACCACGGAGACAGAACUCCAGGUGCUGCAGAAAGAAAAUGACUACAACAGGCAGAAGCCGGCUGACUGCAAGGCCAAG